ACGGAGGAAGAGGGGCUGCCUCUCAGUCCCCGCCUCACGGGGGGUGCCUCCUCCCCCUGUGAUGGGGGUCCUAAGAGCCAGGGGGGGAAAGGAGCUGGCUCUCAGUCCCUGUCUCGCGGGGGGUGCCUCCCCCAACUGCGAUGGGGGUCCUAAGAGCCGGGGGGGGGGAAGAGGGGCUGCCUCUCAGUCCCCGCCUCGCAGGGGGGUGCCUCCUCCCCCUGCGAUGGGGGUCCUAAGAGCCGAGGGGGGGAAGAGGGGCUGUCUCUCAGUCCCCGCCUCGCGGGAGGUGCCUCCCCCCACUGCGAUGGGGGUCCCAAGAGACAGGGGGGAAGAGGGGCUGGCUCUCAGUCCACGCCUUGUGGGGGAUGCCUCCCCCCCUGCGAUGGGGGGUCCCAACAGCCAGCGGGGGAAGAGGGGCUGGCUGAGUCCCCGCCUCGCGGGGGGUGCCUCACCACCCCUGCGAUGGGGGUUCCAAGAGCCAGGAAGGGAAGAGGGGCUGGCUCGCAGUCCCCACCUCACGGGGGUGCCUCCCCCCCAGGGAUGGGGGUCCUAAGAGCCAGGGGGGGAAGAGGAGCUGGCUCUCAGUCACCACAGCAUGGGGGGCCUUUCUGUUCUGGUUUUGCCCAAGAGUAAGCUUAUUUGCAUCUGGUUCUAGCAGGGCAGUUGCUGCGAAGGCCCUCAAACAGGGGGGCCAUCCUUUAGAAACCCUGUCUAGCUGUUUAGAGAGGUAGGCCACCGGCCUCAGCCAGGGCCCCACAGUUUGGGUUUAAAGUCCAGCUGCCAUCUUUUCUCUGACGCAUACAGUGGAAAAGGCUUUGUGAGAUCCGCUAGCCCCUGGGCUGGGGCUUUCAGAAGUUUUUCCUUUAAGUCAUGAAAGACUUGCUGUUGUUGGAAUCCCCAUUCCAAAUGUUCCCGGUCCCCGCCCCCUUUAUGACGUCAUACAAAGGCGUGGCUAAUACUGCAAAGUUUGGGCUCCGCAGUCUACAAAACCCCACAGCUCCUAGGAAUUCUCUCACCAGCCUUCUGCCCUUAGGCUCCGGUAGAUUGCAAAUGACCUGCUUUCUUUCGGCUCCCGGGCUGCUUUCGGACACCUGUCGAAUAGUAAAUCCCAAGUAAGCUACCUGCGGUCGUCGGCAGAUCUGAGUUUUCUUCUUGGACACCUAAUACCCACAGCCCUCCAGGCUCCGGAAGAUUGCAAAUGACCUGCUUUCUUUGGGAUCCCGGGCUGCUUUCGGACACCUGUCGAAUAGUAAAUCCCAAGUAAGCUACCUGCGGUCGUCGGCAGAUCUGAGUUAUCUUCUUGGACACCUAAUACCCACAGCCCUCCAGACUGAGUCUUGCUCUGUUGCCCAUGCUUUGCUGGAUCUCGGGUGACUGCAACCACUGCCUCCCAGAGAUGGGGUUUCACCAUGUUUGCCAGGAUGGUCUCUAUCUCCUGACCUUGUGAUCCACCCACCUCAGCCUCCCAAAGUGCUGGGAUUGCAGGUGCGAGCCACCGGGUCCAGCCUCUCAGGCGAUUUUCAUACCUGCAUACUCUGAUCACUACUCUGUUAAACAGUCAAGGAGGGAAGAUCUCUGAGCUCCAUCUGCAUUCUUUCUUCCUGUGCUGUGGCCUGGAAAGUUUUCUAAGGUGUUUGGGAGGUCAAUUGUGGGGCUAGCCUCAUUUGUUUCUCAUUUCUUGAGGAUCACUGCCCUUUGAUGCUUGAUUCCAGUGAUUGAUUCCCUUUGUUGCUUGAGGGCCAUAGUUUCAUAUAUUUUGUCCAGUAUUUUUGUUGUUUUAGGUCAGAAAGUAAUUUUGGUCUCUGUUACUCCAUCUUGGCCAGAAGUGUAAGACCUAAGCAUUUACACGUCAAAAUAGUGCACACAUAAUUUUAGUUUAAGCUACUUUUUAAAAAAUCUCCUUCAUUUUCCAUUUAGCAUUCUAUUUAGGGUAUUACAUUGGUUUUUUUGAAAUUCUGUUAUUGGCAGUUUCUAUUGCCUAUCAAUCCCAUUUAAAGAUAGUGCAUAGGGUAUUCUAAAAUAGCUGUUAAGCAAAGAGAAAAUUGGGCCUGAUAGGGUGAGAAUCACAGCUCUAAUACCUAGAGUGACCUUAUAAUGUAUUGUCCAAAGGAGAUAUUUUUGACAGUGAAAGAGGGUGUUGUUAGUAAUUAUAUCAGGACCAUGGCCUAAACCAGGACUAUCCCAGGCAGCCUGGGACAUAUUUGUACCCCAUCUCUAUUUAAUGCCUUUAUACAAUUCUUUACUUAAUUCUACCAGCCUUUAUUGAGCCUGCUUUCUUUGUCUAGCUGAGUGCCACGUGCUGACAUCACUAAGAUCAAUACAGCAAACUCUGAAAGAUGGACAGAGAGACAGGAGAUGGUCCUUUAUCAUGCAGUGUGAUCUGUGCUGCAAUAGAGAUGGAAGAGUGUUCUGAUUGGCUGGAAAACAACGCACAUGGGAAGCUGUACAGAAAUGAGUGGGGAAAGUUUUGGAAGCUAGAAGUUCAAAACGAGGUGUUGGCAGCACCAUGCUCUCUCUGAAGAUGCUAGGAAGAAUCUGCUCCAUGCCUUUCCAUUCGCUUCUGGGGUUUCCUGCAAGCCCUGACAUUCCUUGGCUUGUAGAUGCAUCACCCCAGUUUCCGCCCCCAUCAUCACAUGGCCUCCUCUCUGUGUGUGCCUCUGCAUUCCCUCUAUUCUUCUUCUAAGGACACCGACACCAGUCAUAGUGGAUUAAGGGUCCACUCCUAACUAAUUACAUCUGCAACAACCCUAUUUCCAAAUAAAGUCACAUUCUAAGA
Molecule: long non-coding RNA, 2776 nt
Organism: Pan troglodytes (chimpanzee)
Lineage: Eukaryota; Metazoa; Chordata; Mammalia; Primates; Hominidae
Exons: 7
Source: RefSeq, a predicted model, not a curated record